UUCUCCAUAUGCCUAGUCACGUGCUAAUGCACUCUUCCUUUUUUCUCUUUCUCUUUCAAAGGUCUACGCCAUUUGAGAGAAAAAGGCGAAGAGUGGAGGAGCAGUUGAAAAAGAGUGGUAAAGGUGUAAACAAAGUUUUGGAGCUUUUUGCUACUCCAAGUCAAUUUGGUGACUGAAUCGAGAAAAAAGGGAGAUACUCUGUAAAGCAAAAACCAACGUACAAAUCAAAGGGAGGGAGGGGCUUACGUUACGUAGGUUCCAUGUGUUUAUUUGUAUAAAAUUUUCGUUUCUCUUGUGUUGACACGCCCACGGUCUUCUUGCUCCCAUCAAAAAGAUAUGUAUCUUUCCUCGUUUUAAUUAAAAUGAUUGUACUAAGUUUUUUAUUUAUUUUACAAUUAAAAUCUCGCCCAGGACCCUAAUUAAACUACUUCCCCUAUAGCCAGUAGCAUUGUAAUUAGUGAACGUUGUAAGCACAUUAAAGACCUCUCUGUUUGUUUUGUUUUGUUUUCUUCUCUUUAUUUUCUUCUCCUGCCCUGCC
Molecule: long non-coding RNA, 538 nt
Filed under: Gossypium raimondii (Peruvian cotton)
Lineage: Eukaryota; Viridiplantae; Streptophyta; Magnoliopsida; Malvales; Malvaceae
Description: long non-coding RNA (GRAI_LNC000343)
Source: RNAcentral